This 504-nucleotide ribosomal RNA is filed under the name uncultured bacterium. RNAcentral's name for it is "bacterial SSU rRNA". It matches the Rfam family "Bacterial small subunit ribosomal RNA", at positions 1028 to 1532 of the family's 1533-position model. The record is from RNAcentral.
UUGGAGACAGGUGGUGCAUGGUUGUCGUCAGCUCGUGUCGUGAGGUGUUGGGUUAAGUCCCGCAACGAGCGCAACCCCUAUUUCCAGUAGCCAGCAAGAAAGAUGGGAACUCUGGAGAGACUGCCCGGGAUAACUGGGAGGAAGGCGGGGGUGACGUCAAAUCAUCAUGCCCCUUAUGAUCAGGGCUACACACGUGCUACAAUGGCGUAAACAAAGGGAAGCGAAGUGGUGACACGAAGCAAAUCCGAAAAACAACGUCUCAGUUCGGAUUGUAGUCUGCAACUCGACUACAUGAAGCUGGAAUCGCUAGUAAUCGCGAAUCAGAAUGUCGCGGUGAAUACGUUCCCGGGUCUUGUACACACCGCCCGUCACACCAUGGGAGUCGGAAAUGCCCGAAGUCAGUGACCCAACCGAGAGGAGGGAGCUGCCGAAGGUGGAGCCGGUAACUGGGGUGAAGUCGUAACAAGGUAGCCGUAUCGGAAGGUGCGGCUGGAUCACCUCCUU